UACGGAGUGUGCAAGCGUUACUCGGAAUCACUGGGCAUAAAGCGCGCGUAGGCGGUUACUCAAGUCGGAUGUGAAAGCCCUCGGCUUAACUGAGGAAGUGCACCCGAAACUGAGUAGCUAGAGUACUAAAGAGGGUCGCGGAAUUCCCGGUGUAGAGGUGAAAUUCGUAGAUAUCGGGAGGAACACCGGUGGCGAAGGCGGCGACCUGGGUAGAUACUGACGCUGAGGCGCGAAAGCGUGGGGAGCAAACAGG
This 253-nucleotide ribosomal RNA is filed under the name uncultured bacterium. Its description in RNAcentral is "partial 16S ribosomal RNA". It matches the Rfam family "Bacterial small subunit ribosomal RNA", at positions 524 to 776 of the family's 1533-position model. The record is from RNAcentral.